UACGUAGGUGGCGAGCGUUGUCCGGAAUUACUGGGUGUAAAGGGAGCGUAGGCGGGUCGGCAAGUCAGUGGUGAAAUACAUGGGCUUAACCCAUGAAUUGCCAUUGAAACUGCCGGUCUUGAGUGGAUCAGAGGCAAGCGGAAUUCCGAGUGUAGCGGUGAAAUGCGUAGAUAUUCGGAGGAACACCAGUGGCGAAGGCGGCUUGCUGGGGUCUAACUGACGCUGAGGCUCGAAAGUAUGGGGAGCAAACAGGAUUAGAUACCCU
This 265-nucleotide ribosomal RNA is filed under the name uncultured prokaryote. Its description in RNAcentral is "partial 16S ribosomal RNA". It matches the Rfam family "Bacterial small subunit ribosomal RNA", at positions 524 to 788 of the family's 1533-position model. The record is from RNAcentral.